AUUGAACGCUGGCGGCAUGCCUUACACAUGCAAGUCGAACGGCAUCGCGGGAAAGCUUGCUUUCCUGGCGGCGAGUGGCGAACGGGUGAGUAACACAUCGGAACGUACCGGCUAGUGGGGGAUAACCCGUCGAAAGACGGGCUAAUACCGCAUACGCUCUUCGGAGGAAAGCAGGGGACCUUUGGGUCUUGCGCUAGCCGAGCGGCCGAUGUCCGAUUAGCUAGUUGGUGGGGUAAAGGCCUACCAAGGCGACGAUCGGUAGCGGGUCUGAGAGGACGAUCCGCCACACUGGGACUGAGACACGGCCCAGACUCCUACGGGAGGCAGCAGUGGGGAAUCUUGGGCAAUGGGGGCAACCCUGAUCCAGCAAUGCCGCGUGGGUGAAGAAGGCCUUCGGGUUGUAAAGCCCUUUCGGCAGGGAAGAAAUCGGCGGGGCGAAUAACCCUGCUGGAUGACGGUACCUGCAGAAGAAGCACCGGCUAACUACGUG
RNAcentral lists this ribosomal RNA (490 nucleotides) under uncultured bacterium. RNAcentral describes it as "partial 16S ribosomal RNA". It matches the Rfam family "Bacterial small subunit ribosomal RNA", at positions 29 to 507 of the family's 1533-position model. The record is from RNAcentral.